This 306-nucleotide ribosomal RNA is filed under the name Triticum aestivum (bread wheat). RNAcentral's name for it is "partial small subunit ribosomal RNA". The record is from RNAcentral. Lineage: Eukaryota; Viridiplantae; Streptophyta; Magnoliopsida; Poales; Poaceae.
AUGGCAAAAAUUGUACCUUUUUCACAUGGAAAAAUUACCUACAUUGCCACUGCAAUCUUUAACUUUUGCAUACAUGUCAAUAUAAUCGCUAGUGGCAAUUUUUUUCAUGCCAAAUUAACUUUUAUGGGACGAUGCCAAUUUACUCUAAUUUCCUUGCAUUUUUUUGCUUUACAUAUGAUGCAUGGAUUUUUUUUCAUCAUUCAUGGAACCACGGUAAAUUACUUUUUAAGAAACAUGGCAACUUCUCCCCAAACAAUAUAUGGUACACUUUUUGUGUGUGUUUUACAUUUUUUUGCCACUACGUAA